AGGAGGGAGAUUGCUAGUAAAGCGGCUGGAAUGGCCAACCCGAGCACAAGGAGAUGAGAAAUGAGGACAAAUUGCAACCUGUACGGAACAGGAGGUUAAAGGUGCUGAUUCUCCAAGGAGGGAGAUUGCUAGUAAAGCGGCUGGAAUGGCGAACCCGAGCACAAGGAGAUGAGAAAUGAGGACAAAUUGCCACCUGUACGGAACAGGAGGUUAAAGGUGCUGAUUCUCCAAGGAGGGAGAUUGCUAGUAAAGCGGCUGGAAUGGCGAACCCGAGAACAAGGAGAUG
This is a long non-coding RNA of Balaenoptera acutorostrata (minke whale), 286 nucleotides long. RefSeq lists it as uncharacterized. The transcript has 4 exons. NCBI's taxonomy places the organism in Eukaryota, Metazoa, Chordata, Mammalia, Artiodactyla, Balaenopteridae. The record is from RefSeq and is a predicted model, not a curated record.